UUUGGUGGUGCCAGCUUCGAACAAAUCUACUCCAGCCCCAUCUGGUACCACUUCGCAUGUAAGAUUGAUCUUCCUUGCCCUUCGCAUGUCGGUCUGACUUUAAUUUUACGAUCUAGCAGCACCGCCCAAGUUAAAAUCUGACACUUGAUUGUGAGGAUGUAUCGGGUAUUCGCGGGUUUACUAUCAACUAUUAGGUCAUAUUGCAACAAAUAAUUUCACAGCAAGAUAAUCUUACAAUGUACAACAUAAUCAUGGUUUUACUUGUUCGUAUGGGUAGUAAUGGGUAAACACUUUCCUCUCAAGUAAGAAGGGUGGGUGUUGGCCAGCAUACCUUGCUCGUUGACAUAGCCUUCAAUAUGCUAUCAUCUUGCUUGACAGAUGCUAUCAAGUAAUUUUCUCCCUGGAAAAUGAUCCCCCACUACUAGAUAUAGAAAAGGUAUAUUUACAGGAGCAUACACAUGUUUUGGUUUGUGGGGAUAGUUUGAAGACUAUGCAUAUUUAUUUGCUGAUGCUUAAUUAAAAACUAAAAGACGAGCACGACAACAGUCCAUGAGGAAAUUUAUUAGAGUUUCACGUAGUACUUGAUGAGAGAAGUCAAUGAUGGUUCAUUUUUUGAAUGAUUUGUUAAGUAUGCAAGGCUACUAAUUUGUGCAUACCUUUGAUGAAAUGAUUUGUUAAGUGAUUAGUUGGCUACCAAUCAUGGUGUAACAAUUAUGAUUGGUUUAUAUUUUUUAUGAUUCUAUUUACUGCUUCUUCGAAUUAUGAGCGAAAUUGGUUUGAUGCCAAAAAUGCAUGGCUACUAAUUGGUUGAUUACCAAGUUUUCUUGUCCAACUCACAUAAAGUUGCCAAUAUUUGGCAAUGCCAACACUGCUAGCAAGCCAAUCGUGAUCUAUCAGCAUGAAUGGUUCGAUGCCAAAAUUUGGAUGCCAAUAUCUGGCAAAAUGCCAAAUGUUGGCUAGUGAUUGGUUGGCUACCAACUAUUUUGGCCAAUGUCAAAAAAAUAUGCCAAAAAAUUUGUAACUUUGAAAUACCCCAAUUGGUUAUGCCUGCCCAAUGAUUAUGACUCUAACCACUAGUCUCGACUAGUCAUGCGAAUAGUCUAGUAGUAUCAAUUUGGUUGUCGAGUAUAUUUUUCGUGUAGAUGUUUGUACAUGAAGUACAUACCUAGCAAGAAGCAUCCGAAAAGAUUAUUCACAUUGUAUACGGUGCUAACAAGUCCUAAUGUAAGACUGAUUCCAUAUAUCAAUAACUACCAUUUGUUCAUUGCAAUGCAUGCAACAGGUUUGAAUGGCAAGGGAAACCAUCCUCAUAAGUAGUGAAGAGAGUGAUCACCUGACCACCUCAGGUGAUGCUUUAGAUAGCACUUCACAUGGGAGUGAUGGCUAUAGCGGUGAUGACGACACCUCUAGCGACUAUGACACUGUUAAUAGUUCUAAUGGAGAUGGUGUCACGACCGGUUUCCAAAUAAAUGAAUUAAUUGGAAAUCAGCCAUGUGCGUCCUUAGUGAAGAAAAUAUUUCCCACUUACACACUCAUCUUGAUAGAGAAAACCAGUAGUACUUAAUAUUAUACAAGUAGAGCAAGGGUUGCUCUACAAUUAUUACAACAUAUCCAAGUCUUAGGAAAAUGGAAUGUUACAGUGGUCUUAGCGUGACUCUACCGCUCGCGAAACUAAAAGGGUGCACGUAAAAUUAGAGUAAUGUGACAUGAAAAGUACUACUACAUGUUAAGCAUCAGAGUGAAGCUCAACGAUUUAUUCGGGGUGGAAGAAGCGAUGGAAUAAAACAGCGGCGGACUCCAGGAUCGCAAGACUGACCGGGACUCCUCUAGACAUCAGACUCGCUAUCGAACUCUUCAUCCAUGAGGUCUUUGAUGACCCACAUGUAUAGGGGAUCAAUCGUAGUCCUUUUGAUAAGUAAGAGUGUCGAACACAACGAGGAGUAGAAGGCUCUGAUAAACGGUUUUCAGCAAGGUAAUAAUUGCAAGCACUGAAAGUAGCGGUAACAAGUGAUGGUGUAGUGAGGUGAAACAUAGCAGGUGAAAAGUAACAAGUAACAAGUAAUAGCAACGGUGCAACAAAGUGGCCCAAUCCCUUUUGUAGCAAGGGACAAGCCUGAACAAAGUCUUAUAGGAGGAAAAACGCUCCCGAGGACACACGGGAAUUUCUGUCAUGCUAGUUUCAUCAUGUUGAUAUGAUUCGCGUUCGUUACUUUGAUAGUUUGAUAUGUGGGUGGACUGGCGCUUGGGUACUGCCCUUACUUGGACAAGCAUCCCACUUAUGAUUAACCCCUCUCGCAAGCAUCCGCAACUAUGAACGAAGAAUUAAGACAACGUCUAACCAUAGCAUUAAACUAGUGGAUCCAAAUCAGCCCCUUACGAAGCAACGCAUAGACUAGGGUUUAAGCUUCUCUCACUCUAGCAACCCAUCAUCGACUUAAUACUCCCCAAUGCCUUCCUCUAGGCCCAAUUAAUGGUGAAGUAUUAUGUAGUCGACGUUCACAUAACACCACUAGAGGAAAAACAACAUACAACAUAUCAAAAUACCGAACGAAUACCAAAUUCACAUGACUAUUAUUAGCAUGACUUAUCCCAUGUCCUCAGGAACAAAAGUAACUUCUCACAAAGCAUAAUCAUAAUCAUGAUCAGAGGUGUAAUGAGUAGCAUCAAGGAUCUGAACAUAAACUCUUCCACCAAGUAAUCCAACUAGCAUCAACUACAAAGAGUAAUCAACACUACUAGCAACCUUACAAGUACCAAUCGGAGUCGCGAGACGGAGAUUGGUUACAAGAGAUGAACUAGGGUUUGGAGAUGAGAUUGUGAUGAUGAAGAUGUUGAUGGAGACGAGUCCCCUCCGAUGAUAGGAGUGUUGGUGAUGACGAUGGCAACGAUUUCCCCCUCCGGGAGGGAAGCUUCCCCGGCAGGAUCGUCCUGUCGGAGCUCUAGAUUGGUUCUGCUCAAGUUCCGCCUCGUGGCGGCGGCGCCUCCUCGAAAAAGCUCCGCCCUGAUUUUUUUCCGGACGAAACCCUUCAUAUAGCAGAAGAGGGGAGCCAGUGGGCCACCAGGGUGCCCAGAAGCCCUGUAGCCGCGGCCAGGGGGGCAGGCCGCAGCCACCAGGCUUGUGGGCCCCUGGCAGUUCCCCUCUGGCACUUCUUUCACCCAAUAUUUUUUAUAUAUUCCCAAAAAAUUCCAUGUUGAUUUUCAAGGCAUUUGGAGUUGCGCAGAAUAGAGGACUCAGACUUGCUCCUUUUCCUGUCCGGAAUUCCAGCUGCCGGUAUUCUCGCUCUUCAAAUAAACCUUGCAAAAUAAGAGAGAAAAGGCAUAAGUAUGGUACCAGAAAGUAUAAUAACAGUCCAUAAAGCGAUAAAUAUCAACAUGAAAGCAUGAUGCAAAACGAACGUAUCAACUCCCCCAAGCUUAAACCUCACUUGUCCUCAAGCGAAAACUAAGAUCCAUAAACAUGUCCACAUGUUUAGGGAUGAAGGUUUUGAUAAAACAUAAUACGGACAUGAGGGCAUCAUGAUCACACAUAGAACAGCAAUAUAUCGUAAAGAUUCUCAUGGGACAGUAACAAUUCCUUCACAAAGCAAAGUAUGAAUCAAAAACCUUACCGAGAAGUAGCCAACAACAAUCCAUAGUCAUUGAAGCAAUUGCAAUUUAUCAUAACAUCACAAAGAGUCAAAUAAGAGCUUGUAAAGCAAAUCCUCAUACUCAAUCAUCUCUUUUGUUUUCCACAAUUAUUACAACUCACGUGGUACUCAUGGUAUCAAAGUUUCAGUUGGACACAGAGAACGAUAGGGGCUUAUAAUUUUGCCUCCCAACCAUUUACCUCAAGUGUAAAGUCAACAAUAAUAAAGCAUAAGUACUCAUCUCCUCGUUGAUAUAUGAAUAUAGAUCUUUCCCUAGCAUAUGACGUUCACCAAGAUGAAGACGGAAUAGGGAAUUGGUGUUGAUCACCAAGACUUUCACAAGAACAAAAGUAAAGGUACAAGAUAGGCCCUUCGCAGAGGGAAUCAGAGGUUGUCAUGCGCUUUUGAGGUUUGGAUGUGUGUCCUCUUAGUGCGGAGGAACGUCACUUUAUAUUGCCUCCUGUGAUAAAGAACUUUAUUAUGCAGUCUGUCGCUUUUAUGUCUUCCUCAUCACAGGUUCGUAUAAAGCUUAUUUUCCACACACUAAUAGGUCAUACAUAUUUGAGAGCAAUUUUUAUUGCUUGCACCGAUGACAACUUACUUGAGGGAUAUUAUUCAAUCCAUAGGUAGGUAUGGUGGACUCUCAUGGCAAAACAGGGUUGAAGGUUUAUGGAUGCACAAGUAGUAUUUCUACUUAGUACGGAACUUUUGGCUAAUAUGAGGUGGAAGCAAUCGUCACAUGCUAAGGGAUCUCUAAUCAUAUAACAUUGUUUCGAACCAAGCAAACACA
This 4416-nucleotide long non-coding RNA is filed under the name Hordeum vulgare. RNAcentral's name for it is "long non-coding RNA (HVUL_LNC009939)". The record is from RNAcentral. Lineage: Eukaryota; Viridiplantae; Streptophyta; Magnoliopsida; Poales; Poaceae.